This is a small nuclear RNA of Dromiciops gliroides (monito del monte), 108 nucleotides long. Lineage: Eukaryota; Metazoa; Chordata; Mammalia; Microbiotheria; Microbiotheriidae. The record is from RefSeq and is a predicted model, not a curated record.
AAUUUUUAAAAAAUUUAAUUCUUUACUUAAUGUGUUCGGAUACAGAGAAGAUUAGCAUGGCCCCUGCACAAGCAUGACAAGCAAAUUCGUGAAGCAUACUUAAUGUGU